UUAAGCGACUAAGCGUACACGGUGGAUGCCCUGGCAGUCAGAGGCGAUGAAGGACGUGCUAAUCUGCGAAAAGCGCCGGCGAGGUGAUAUGAACCUUUGACCCGGCGAUGUCCGAAUGGGGAAACCCAGUGUGAUUCGUCACACUAUCGUUAACUGAAUACAUAGGUUAACGAGGCGAACCGGGGGAACUGAAACAUCUAAGUACCCCGAGGAAAAGAAAUCAACCGAGAUUCCCCCAGUAGCGGCGAGCGAACGGGGAGCAGCCCAGAGUCUGAAUCAGCUUGUGUGUUAGUGGAAGCGUCUGGAAAGUCGCACGGUACAGGGUGACAGUCCCGUACACGAAAGCACACAGGUUGUGAACUCGAAGAGUAGGGCGGGACACGUGGUAUCCUGUCUGAAUAUGGGGGGACCAUCCUCCAAGGCUAAAUACUCCUGACUGACCGAUAGUGAACCAGUACCGUGAGGGAAAGGCGAAAAGAACCCCGGAGAGGGGAGUGAAAAAGAACCUGAAACCGUGUACGUACAAGCAGUGGGAGCACCUUCGUGGUGUGACUGCGUACCUUUUGUAUAAUGGGUCAGCGACUUAUAUUCUGUAGCAAGGUUAACCGUAUAGGGGAGCCGAAGGGAAACCGAGUCUUAACUGGGCGUUAAGUUGCAGGGUAUAGACCCGAAACCCGGUGAUCUAGCCAUGGGCAGGUUGAAGGUUGGGUAACACUAACUGGAGGACCGAACCGACUAAUGUUGAAAAAUUAGCGGAUGACUUGUGGCUGGGGGUGAAAGGCCAAUCAAACCGGGAGAUAGCUGGUUCUCCCCGAAAGCUAUUUAGGUAGCGCCUCGUGAACUCAUCUUCGGGGGUAGAGCACUGUUUCGGCUAGGGGGCCAUCCCGGCUUACCAACCCGAUGCAAACUACGAAUACCGAAGAAUGUUAUCACGGGAGACACACGGCGGGUGCUAACGUCCGUCGUGAAGAGGGAAACAACCCAGACCGCCAGCUAAGGUCCCAAAGUCAUGGUUAAGUGGGAAACGAUGUGGGAAGGCACAGACAGCCAGGAUGUUGGCUUAGAAGCAGCCAUCAUUUAAAGAAAGCGUAAUAGCUCACUGGUCGAGUCGGCCUGCGCGGAAGAUGUAACGGGGCUAAACCAUGCACCGAAGCUGCGGCAGCGACACUAUGUGUUGUUGGGUAGGGGAGCGUUCUGUAAGCCGUUGAAGGUGUGCUGUGAGGCAUGCUGGAGGUAUCAGAAGUGCGAAUGCUGACAUAAGUAACGAUAAAGCGGGUGAAAAGCCCGCUCGCCGGAAGACCAAGGGUUCCUGUCCAACGUUAAUCGGGGCAGGGUGAGUCGACCCCUAAGGCGAGGCCGAAAGGCGUAGUCGAUGGGAAACAGGUUAAUAUUCCUGUACUUGGUGUUACUGCGAAGGGGGGACGGAGAAGGCUAUGUUAGCCGGGCGACGGUUGUCCCGGUUUAAGCAUGUAGGCGGAACGAUUAGGUAAAUCCGGUCGUUUUUUAACGCUGAGGUGUGAUGACGAGGCACUACGGUGCUGAAGUAACAAAUGCCCUGCUUCCAGGAAAAGCCUCUAAGCAUCAGGUAACAUCAAAUCGUACCCCAAACCGACACAGGUGGUCAGGUAGAGAAUACCAAGGCGCUUGAGAGAACUCGGGUGAAGGAACUAGGCAAAAUGGUGCCGUAACUUCGGGAGAAGGCACGCUGAUAUGUAGGUGAAGCCCCUGCGGGUGGAGCUGAAAUCAGUCGAAGAUACCAGCUGGCUGCAACUGUUUAUUAAAAACACAGCACUGUGCAAACACGAAAGUGGACGUAUACGGUGUGACGCCUGCCCGGUGCCGGAAGGUUAAUUGAUGGGGUUAGCGGUAACGCGAAGCUCUUGAUCGAAGCCCCGGUAAACGGCGGCCGUAACUAUAACGGUCCUAAGGUAGCGAAAUUCCUUGUCGGGUAAGUUCCGACCUGCACGAAUGGCGUAAUGAUGGCCAGGCUGUCUCCACCCGAGACUCAGUGAAAUUGAACUCGCUGUGAAGAUGCAGUGUACCCGCGGCAAGACGGAAAGACCCCGUGAACCUUUACUAUAGCUUGACACUGAACACUGGUCCUUGAUGUGUAGGAUAGGUGGGAGGCUUUGAAGUGUGGACGCCAGUCUGCAUGGAGCCGUCCUUGAAAUACCACCCUUUAAUGGCUGGUGUUCUAACGUAGACCCGUAAUCCGGGUUGCGGACAGUGUCUGGUGGGUAGUUUGACUGGGGCGGUCUCCUCCCAAAGAGUAACGGAGGAGCACGAAGGUUAGCUAAUCCUGGUCGGACAUCAGGAGGUUAGUGCAAUGGCAUAAGCUAGCUUGACUGCGAGAGUGACGGCUCGAGCAGGUGCGAAAGCAGGUCAUAGUGAUCCGGUGGUUCUGAAUGGAAGGGCCAUCGCUCAACGGAUAAAAGGUACUCCGGGGAUAACAGGCUGAUACCGCCCAAGAGUUCAUAUCGACGGCGGUGUUUGGCACCUCGAUGUCGGCUCAUCACAUCCUGGGGCUGAAGUAGGUCCCAAGGGUAUGGCUGUUCGCCAUUUAAAGUGGUACGCGAGCUGGGUUUAGAACGUCGUGAGACAGUUCGGUCCCUAUCUGCCGUGGGCGCUGGAGAAUUGAGGGGGGCUGCUCCUAGUACGAGAGGACCGGAGUGGACGCAUCACUGGUGUUCGGGUUGUCAUGCCAAUGGCACUGCCCGGUAGCUAAAUGCGGAAAAGAUAAGUGCUGAAAGCAUCUAAGCACGAAACUUGCCCCGAGAUGAGUUCUCCCUGAGACUUUAAGUCUCCUGAAGGAACGUUGAAGACGACGACGUUGAUAGGUCGGGUGUGUAAGCGCAGCGAUGCGUUGAGCUAACCGAUACUAAUGAACCGUGAGGCUUAACCU
RNAcentral lists this ribosomal RNA (2902 nucleotides) under Enterobacter roggenkampii. RNAcentral describes it as "23S ribosomal RNA". It matches the Rfam family "Bacterial large subunit ribosomal RNA". Lineage: Bacteria; Pseudomonadati; Pseudomonadota; Gammaproteobacteria; Enterobacterales; Enterobacteriaceae. The record is from RNAcentral.